GACGGCCUUCGGGUUGUAAACCUCUUUUAGUAGGGAAGAAGCGACUGUGUUUUACAUAGAAGUGACGGUACCUGCAGAAAAAGCACCGGCUAACUACGUGCCAGCAGCCGCGGUAAUACGUAGGGUGCAAGCGUUGUCCGGAAUUAUUGGGCGUAAAGAGCUCGUAGGCGGUUUGUCGCGUCUGCUGUGAAAACUGGAGGCUCAACCUCCAGCCUGCAGUGGGUACGGGCAGACUAGAGUGCGGUAGGGGAGAUUGGAAUUCCUGGUGUAGCGGUGGAAUGCGCAGAUAUCAGGAGGAACACCAAUGGCGAAGGCAGAUCUCUGGGCCGUAACUGACGCUGAGGAGCGAAAGCAUGGGGAGCGAACAGGAUUAGAUACCCUGGUAGUCCAUGCCGUAAACGUUGGGAACUAGAUGUAGGGGCCAUUCCACGGUUUCUGUGUCGCAGCUAACGCAUUAAGUUCCCCGCCUGGGGAGUACGGCCGCAAGGCUAAAACUCAAAGGAAUUGACGGAAUCACUA
RNAcentral lists this ribosomal RNA (519 nucleotides) under uncultured bacterium. RNAcentral's name for it is "bacterial SSU rRNA". It matches the Rfam family "Bacterial small subunit ribosomal RNA", at positions 410 to 924 of the family's 1533-position model. The record is from RNAcentral.